CGGAGAAUGAAGACAACCGGACACCUGCAGCAGAUGGGGAAUCAGUGAACUUUUAUUGAGACAGAGACAAACUCUCAACGCAGCUCACAUCAAGAGAUUCCAAAUAUUUGCUGUGAGGAUGGGUAUAUAUUCUCUAAAACUUACAGGAGGGGGUUGUGAGGACAGUGCUGCAUUAGCAGAAAAACAACUCCAUAAAAGGAAAGCGGCCUUGGGUGUUCUAGUCUCUUCGCUUGCAGAUAUCUUUCACCUGCAGGAUGAGGCGAUCGCUUCUUAUCGCUCUCAAGGCCAAAGUCGUGAGCACAUUUUUAUUACACAGUUGCACAGUAACUUUAAAGCUGAACAAUAUUUAAAGCUGAAUAAUGUUUAAAGCUGAACAAUAUUUAAAGCUGAAUAAUGUUUAAAGCUGAACAAUAUUUAAAGCUGAAUAAUGUUUAAAGCUGAACAAUAUUUAAAGCUGAAUAAUGUUUGAUCAGAUUAUAUUUUCUUCAAAUCCCCCUUUUGACCCAUCUUAAAUGGGUCAACACACAAAAAUAAGUAACAAUCAAAGGAACACAGAGACGUGUCGAAGCCUGGCUCGAAAAACUCCUCGGGUCUUUUCAUUUGUCUUUAUCUGUCAUUGCAGAUGAGGAGAAAAGAGUCCAGGCACCACCCUGCCCAGGGGUCGGCUGCAAGCAGUCUCGGUUCCCGAUGAAAGCAGUAACAGCUGUCCUGCACACAAGGGUACAACGAGUUAGUGCAACCAGGGUAGUGACACAAAAUUAACAGUUCCUGUAACUCAGCAACCAAAAAGCAUAAGUAAUGAUAAAAAUGUGGAGAGUACAGAGUAUACUAUAAUAAUGAGAGAUAUAAACGUGAAAAUGUGAAAGAAUAAAUCAACCGUAAAAUAAACUCAGAACGGUAACUGCUAAGGACAUUCAAAAGUGAAUAUGGUAAAACUGGAGAGGAAGUGGUGGGCAAGACCCUAGGGGCUACAUUUGUCAGAUUGGGACUGUCAGAAGGGGGCGAAGCUUUUGAACUUGAAGGUGUCAUAAGUGUCGGGGGCCCUUCACAGAUCAGGAUUAUGCCAAUGGGAAUGAGACCCAGGGCCAGGAAGCAAACAAAGACGCAACAUCUUUGCCUGCCUGUCAUUUCAGGGGGAAAGGGCCAAGACAUGUUUACUUAGCUUGGAUGUCGUCUAAUAGAGGAUGAUGGGGCACAGAAAGGUGGUCCAGUUCCCCCCACCUCGCCAAGGGCGUGUUCUAGGAGUUAAAGAGCAACAACCUGCAAUCUAGAGAGAGAGAGAGAGAGAGAGAGGGAGAGCGAGAGCGAGAGCCCCUAAUGGCCAGUUAGUGGGCUCUAGGUCAAACUGUCCCCAAAUUUGUUAUUUGUUAUUAUUACUUGUUUUCAUGUCACUUGUCUGUUUUCUACUGCACCCCUCUCACCAAAGCAAAGCAAACAUUAGCAGCACAUUGACCGUAGUCAGGCAUCCUCAUUCCAUAGGUGCUAUAAAACAUUUCCUGUAAAUACAGUGUAAUAGCAUCCCCAACUCCUAACCCAUAAACACCGUUUCUUCACACAUCCGCCCAGAAAUCCUGUAAUAGAAAAACAUUAAAACUGUAACCCUGUAGGGAAGAAAAUGUAAAUGGUAACGCUGCGCAGUUACCUCUGUAAGCAACACAAGACACAAAAAUGGCAUUUACAGGUUCACUCAUCCUCGAAUAUUUUGUCAUCCUUCUACUCCUGUAAAAGAAACCCACAUAAAUUCAUCCACCCUUUUAUCCUAUCUAGGUGGAGGUGGUUAACCUUGAGUCAUGGUCAAGUCUUGUCAUCUUUUACCAGUCAGUCCGUUUGUUUUUAUUCCCAGUCUUUCAUCCAUUCAUCCGUUCUUUGCUGAUAGUGAAACCUGUCGUCGCAUCUAGUUUCCACACUCAGCAAAAU
Long non-coding RNA from Astatotilapia calliptera (eastern happy), 1917 nucleotides. NCBI's taxonomy places the organism in Eukaryota, Metazoa, Chordata, Actinopteri, Cichliformes, Cichlidae. The record is from Ensembl.